This 330-nucleotide unclassified non-coding RNA is filed under the name soil metagenome. RNAcentral's name for it is "partial contains 5.8S ribosomal RNA, internal transcribed spacer 2, and large subunit ribosomal RNA". The stretch from base 1 to 121 matches the Rfam family "5.8S ribosomal RNA", at positions 35 to 154 of the family's 154-position model. The record is from RNAcentral.
GAUGAAGAACGUAGUGAAAUGCGAUAAGUAAUGCGAAUUGCAGAAUUUCCGUGAGUCAUCGAAUCUUUGAACGCACAUUGCGCCCCCUGGUAUUCCGGGGGGCAUGCCUGUCCGAGCGUCAUUACAACCCUCAAGCUCAGCUUGGUGUUGGGCCCCGCCGCCCCGGCGGGCCCUAAAGUCAGUGGCGGUGCCGUCCGGCUCCGAGCGUAGUAAUUCUUCUCGCUCUGGAGGUCCGGUCGUGUGCUCGCCAGCAACCCCCAAUUUUUUUCAGGUUGACCUCGGAUCAGGUAGGGAUACCCGCUGAACUUAAGCAUAUCAAUAAGCGGAGGA